RNAcentral lists this ribosomal RNA (700 nucleotides) under uncultured Rubrobacter sp. RNAcentral describes it as "bacterial SSU rRNA". It matches the Rfam family "Bacterial small subunit ribosomal RNA", at positions 417 to 1105 of the family's 1533-position model. Lineage: Bacteria; Bacillati; Actinomycetota; Rubrobacteria; Rubrobacterales; Rubrobacteraceae. The record is from RNAcentral.
UUCGGAUUGUAAACUCCUGUCAUGCGUGAACAAGGCAGCCUGGUUAAUAGCCGGGCUGAUUGAUGGUAACGCAAGAGGAAGAGACGGCUAACUCUGUGCCAGCAGCCGCGGUAAUACAGAGGUCUCAAGCGUUGUUCGGAAUCACUGGGCGUAAAGGGUGCGUAGGUGGCGUGGUAAGUCAGAUGUGAAAGCCCGGGGCUCAACCUCGGAACUGCAUCCGAUACUGCCAUGCUAGAGAACUGAAGAGGAGUGUAGAAUUCUCGGUGUAGCAGUGAAAUGCGUAGAUAUCGAGAGGAAUACCAACGGCGAAGGCAGCACUCUGGGCAGUUUCUGACACUGAGGCACGAAGGCUAGGGGAGCAAACGGGAUUAGAUACCCCGGUAGUCCUAGCAGUAAACGGUGCACGUUUGGUGUGGGGGGAUUCGACCCUUUCCGCGCCGGAGCUAACGCGUUAAACGUGCCGCCUGGGAAGUACGGUCGCAAGAUUAAAACUCAAAGAAAUUGACGGGGACCCGCACAAGCGGUGGAGUAUGUGGCUUAAUUCGAUGCAACGCGAAGAACCUUACCUGGUCUUGACAUGCACUGUGUCGUCGGUGAAAGCCGGCUAGUCCCGCAAGGGACGCUUUGCACAGGUGCUGCAUGGCUGUCGUCAGCUCGUGUCGUGAGAUGUUGGGUUAAGUCCCGCAACGAGCGCAACCCC